This 301-nucleotide ribosomal RNA is filed under the name uncultured bacterium. RNAcentral's name for it is "partial 16S ribosomal RNA". It matches the Rfam family "Bacterial small subunit ribosomal RNA", at positions 509 to 807 of the family's 1533-position model. The record is from RNAcentral.
CAGCAGCCGCGGUAAUGCAGAGGAUGCAAGCGUUAUCCGGAAUGGUUGGGCGUAAAGCGUCUGUAGGUGGCUUUUCAAGUCCGCCGUCAAAUCCCAGGGCUCAACCCUGGACAGGCGGUGGAAACUACCAAGCUGGAGUACGGUAGGGGCAGAGGGAAUUUCCGGUGGAGCGGUGAAACGCAUAGAUAUGUCACAGAACGCCAAUUGCGAAGGCAGCUUACUAUGGUUUUAUUGACACUGAGGCACGAAAGCGUGGGGAUCAAACAGGAUUAGAUACCCCCGUAGUCCCUGUCUCUUAUAC